CCUGCGGAGGGAUCAUUACCGAGUUCAUGCCCUUACGGGUAGACCUCCCACCCUAUGUUAUAUUACCUUUGUUGCUUUGGCGGGCCGCCCGGCUUCGGCCAGGCUACCGGCUCCAGCUGGUAAGCGCUCGCCAGAGGACCCUCAACUCUGAAUAUCAGUGUCGUCCGAGUACUAUAAAAUAGUUAAAACUUUCAACAACGGAUCUCUUGGUUCUGGCAUCGAUGAAGAACGCAGCGAAAUGCGAUAAGUAAUGUGAAUUGCAGAAUUCAGUGAAUCAUCGAAUCUUUGAACGCACAUUGCGCCCCUUGGUAUUCCGAGGGGCAUGCCUGUUCGAGCGUCAUUACAACCCUCAAGCACUGCUUGGUAUUGGGCUCCGCUGGCUCCAGCGGGCCUUAAAAUCAGUGGCGGCGCCGUUUGGGCUCUGAGCGUAGUAAAUAUCCUCGCUAUAGAGACCAGGCGGUUCUUGUCAUCAACCCCCAACUUUCUAAGUUUGACCUCGGAUCAGGUAGGGAUACCCGCUGAACUUAAGCAUAUCAAA
This 538-nucleotide ribosomal RNA is filed under the name Helotiales sp. RNAcentral's name for it is "eukaryotic LSU rRNA". The stretch from base 187 to 340 matches the Rfam family "5.8S ribosomal RNA". The record is from RNAcentral. Lineage: Eukaryota; Fungi; Ascomycota; Leotiomycetes; Helotiales.